AGUGAACGCUGGCGGUAGGCCUAACACAUGCAAGUCGAACGGCAGCACAGUAAGAGCUUGCUCUUACGGGUGGCGAGUGGCGGACGGGUGAGGAAUACAUCGGAAUCUACUUUUUCGGGGGGGAUAACGUAGGGAAACUUACGCUAAUACCGCAUACGACCUACGGGUGAAAGCAGGGGAACUUCGGACCUUGUGCGAUUGAAGGAGGCGAUGUCGGAUUUGGUAGUUGGGGGGGUAAAGGUCCACCAAGGCGACGAUCCGUAGCUGGUCUGAGAGGAAGAUCAGCCUCACCGGCACUGGCACACAGUCCCGGGCCCGACGGGUGGCGGCGGUGGCGGAUAUUGGACAAUGGGCGGGAGCCUAAUCCAGCCCUACCCCUGCCGUGAAGAGGGCCUUCGGGUUUUAAAGCCCUUUUGUUGUGAAAGAAAAGCAGCAAGUUAAUACCCCGCUGUUCUGACGGUACCCAAAGAAUAAGCCCCGGCUAACUUCGUG
This 492-nucleotide ribosomal RNA is filed under the name uncultured bacterium. RNAcentral describes it as "partial 16S ribosomal RNA". It matches the Rfam family "Bacterial small subunit ribosomal RNA", at positions 29 to 507 of the family's 1533-position model. The record is from RNAcentral.